GGUUGCGAUCAUACCAGCACUAAUGCACCGGAUCCCAUUAGAACUCCGCAGUUAAGCGUGCUUGGGCGAGAGUAGUACUAGGAUGGGUGACCCCCUGGGAAGUCCUCGUGUUGCAACCC
Molecule: ribosomal RNA, 119 nt
Filed under: Helianthus annuus (common sunflower)
Lineage: Eukaryota; Viridiplantae; Streptophyta; Magnoliopsida; Asterales; Asteraceae
Source: RNAcentral